UCUCUCUCUCUCUCUCUCUUUAUGAUACAAGGGUACUUCACCAUUUUACUGCUGAAAAGAGAGGGCAAAACAAAUGCCUCUCAAAAUCCAACGUAAUGAAAACAAAAAUUGAAUUAUUUGAAUAACUUAGAAUUUCUGCAAUGCAGGAGAGAUUGAACUAGUCAUUCAUACAGGUUUUUUCAACAUGUGUGGAGAUUAGAUCAAAACACUCAUCUCAUUCUCAGACAGGAAAAGGACAUUCAACUAGCAGAUACUGUAUUUUAUCUUGUGUGACUCCGCCAGAAAUCCAAUCAGUAUCCUAAAUUCUGAGUUUCUGCAAUACAACCAGGCAGAUCAACUAGCACAAUCAUUUCCAAUCAACCAAAUUGCUGGUUAACAAAACUUUUAUACAGUUUAAAAGGAAGAAAAAUAAAGGACCUAAAUUAUGAAUUCACUAAAACCAAGUUUUUAUUUCCUAUUUUAGUUCAUUAUCCAAGAAAUAUUUUUGCAGUGCCACACAUCAAAUAUAAUUGUGAUAAGUAAUACAGUGUAGAGAGACAAAGCAGGAAACAGAUAGGUUAUCAAAUAACAUGUCCUUCGUCUUGUUGGUUGAUAAAGUUUGCUAGAAGAGCACAAAACAUAAAGGAUUCUUGCCUCAAAGAAAUAGCGUCUAGGAG
This 656-nucleotide unclassified non-coding RNA is filed under the name Hevea brasiliensis (rubber tree). Lineage: Eukaryota; Viridiplantae; Streptophyta; Magnoliopsida; Malpighiales; Euphorbiaceae. The record is from RNAcentral.